GAAAAAAUUAUGACGCUGAUGGAUUUCCAUAGCGAUACAAUUGAUUGAAUCAAUCGUAACUCUUUGUAAGACGGGGCACUGAUGUGCUCCAUACAAAGGUGCUGAAUGAUGCGAAUAUACUGUGCUCAAACUCAUAUAUGCAAAGUGGAACAAAACAGUCAAUAUUUAUCAUCUAAUAUCUCUGUGCACUCCAAAAGACUUUGGAUUGAUUGGGGAUAUUUGGAGUAACUCGAUAAUUCCUACCCAUUAUCAUAAUGGGUAUUUGUGAGUAAUAAUGUUUCUGCGUUAUAUAUCUAAUAAGUUCAACCCAUUAUGACAUAUGACAUUUUACAUUUGAUUCCAUGUGUUUGUCAUUUAAACAUUUGUUUUCUACCUGUACAGAUACAACUGCUCUGUGUGGAAUAUAUUUCAAAGUGUUACAUGUAUGUAACAUUAAUCAAUACUCAAUGAUAUCAGUAAUCUUUGAAUGACAUAUUUCUAUCAUCACUUGUUAUUUGUAAGAAUGUGACAAAAACUGGAAUUUUGCCACAUCAAUUUGUACUGAAUCAAAUAAAAGGGUACUCCAGAAAUAUUCAGUCAUUCCAUCUAUUCGUGAUUUAAAAGUAAAUGAAUUUAACAUAUCAGGUUUCGCAGGAAAUGUGAAUAAUUGAAUUUUUUUACUUCAUGUUAUGUAUUAAAAGCAAGUUUUUUUUUCUUGAAAAUCUAAGAUUCAAUUUACAGUACUCCCAUGUAGCCCAUUCCAAAUAGCCAAAUAGUAGGUGAUUAUAAGUACAAGUACAGUAGGCCUAUAUUAUAGGGUAAUUAAAAUUCUAAGUGUCUCAGGUAAAACGUUUUAAUAUAUUUUUAUCAGUGAGUGUUGUAAUUAUGUUGGUUUAGGCUAUGAUUCCUCUGAAUGAUGAUUUUAAAUAUUUCUUAAUUUUUACUUGUAAAAAAAUGUACCUCGUAAGUGAUAUAUGCAAAUUAUGAACUGAAAUCAAUGAAGGGAAGUCAAUUUGAUGCAUGAUAAUCAUUAUAAAUCUACAAUGAUUUGGGGGAAGGGGAGGGGGUACUUCACCAUUUCAUCAUUUUUUCUUCUCUCCUUUAUUAAGUCCCUUUCUGUGGUUGGGGGUAACAGUAAGAUGUAUCUAUGUAUUGUGUAUUUGUCCUACAGUAUUAUACAUGUACUCAAAGGCCCAAAUUCACGAAGGUGGUUUUAAUUGUACCAUGGUGCAAACCCUGAACUCUGCAGAUUUUAUGUACAUAAUUACGCGUAUUUCAUCAUAAACACUAUUUUAAAGAAAAGUCCAAUUAUAGAUGCACCCUUUUUGGUAAAGGGUGCAAUGAUAUUCUUGAGUGAAGCAUGAUAAUACAAGAAAUUUGCAUAUUCCGUGGUGUUGUAACAUAGUACAAUUAAACCACCUUUGUGAAGUCGGGCCUUUGUGCAUUCAUUUUGUAUACCCAAUAAUGUCUUAAUGUACAUAUUCUUUGUUUGGUGUGGGCAUGGUUAUGUUUAAAUGUUUAUUGUUUAUGCAUUGCAACAAUUCACAGUGCUCAUCAGUAAUGCAAUGAAGACUCAAAAUUCUAGGUGUAUUUCCAAAAUCAUAUUUCAUUGAUAUUUUCAGUAAAAGGAAACACAGUAAAAUCAAUGUAAUUUUAUAAUAGCAUUACGUGCUGAAUUAUAUAAAAUGAAGAUUGAUGAAUAUAUAUUUCUGAAAUGUUUUUCCAUGUCAUUUUAAUGAAAUACUGCACUUCAAGAUUUCACGUAUAUGCUUUUGAAUGAAAUUACAAAAGAAAAUAAUGUUGGAAAAAAGUUAAUUAUUUUGUUUAAAUCAUCAUAUAUGACUAUUAAUUGGGUCCAUUACUGUUCAGUAUAUUUCAAUUUCCAAAAUGUAAUAUUCUGGUUUAAAGACUGAGUUUUAACAUGCUCAUGUUAUCUUGUCCAAAGCUAGAAUGUGUUUUAUAAUGUGCCAUUUCUAUCCCUGUGCUAUACGUAAAGCGGCUGAAGUAUGUACAAAA
Molecule: long non-coding RNA, 1995 nt
Filed under: Lytechinus variegatus (green sea urchin)
Lineage: Eukaryota; Metazoa; Echinodermata; Echinoidea; Temnopleuroida; Toxopneustidae
Description: uncharacterized LOC121431683
Source: RNAcentral